GACGAACGCUGGCGGCGUGCUUAACACAUGCAAGUCGAACGGAAAGGCCUGCUUUCCCUUGUGGAUUGCGGGUACUCGAGUGGCGAACGGGUGAGUAACACGUGAGUGAUCUGCCCCCAACUUGGGUAUAAGCCUGGGAAACUGGGUCUAAUUCCCGAUAGGACUGCAGGGUGGUGCCUGUGGUGGAAAACGAUUUUCUAGUGGUUGGGGAUGAGCUCGCGGCCUAUCAGCUUGUUGGUGGGGUAAUGGCCUACCAAGGCGGCGACGGGUAGCCGGCCUGAGAGGGUGGACGGCCACAUUGGGACUGAGAGACGGCCCAGACUCCUACGGGAGGCAGCAGGGGGGAAUAUUGCACAAUGGGCGGAAGCCUGAUGCAGCGACGCCGCGUGGGGGAUGACGGCCUUCGGGUUGUAAACUCCUUUCGACCGCGAGGAAGCCACCUGGUUGGAAGGGUGGUGACGGUAGUGGGAGAAGAAGCACCGGCUAACUACGUG
Molecule: ribosomal RNA, 494 nt
Filed under: uncultured bacterium
Lineage: Bacteria
Description: partial 16S ribosomal RNA
Rfam family: Bacterial small subunit ribosomal RNA
Source: RNAcentral